UUAAGGUAACAAAGUCUAAUCAAUGUCAUGAUUGUAUAAUUGAACUUAGACAAGGUAACACGGUGAGAGGGCAUUAACUUCGACCCGUUAAUCUUAACAGACAAGCUCGCAGCAGCAAGGCCUUAUUAGAGUCGAUAGGCAAUAUAACCAACGAAGAACAGUAGAUCAAACUCAGGGGACACAAGAUUUUAAUGUGGAAAACCCUUCCUCCUUGGAAGAGGAAAAACCACAGGCGCCAGCCAACAAAUCUUCACUAUAUCAAGUGAGGUUACAAACGUCGGGGAUUUACAACUAUUUCAACUUAUCCCAAAUGGCGGCCGCUCCGUCCGAAAUCGACCUUUAUGUAUAUAUAACUGAAUUUGGAUCAUAACUCAACAAACUCCACCUUGAGACAAAUUCCUUCUUGUAGCAUAAAAUGAACCUUCACCCUGAAACAACAAAGAGAACACUUUCGGCACCAAAUAGCCUCAUGGGCAAAAUAGUU
This 484-nucleotide long non-coding RNA is filed under the name Setaria viridis. RNAcentral describes it as "long non-coding RNA (SVIR_LNC006238)". The record is from RNAcentral. Lineage: Eukaryota; Viridiplantae; Streptophyta; Magnoliopsida; Poales; Poaceae.